CAGUCGCCGCGGUAAUACGAGGGGGGCAAGCGUUGUUCGGAAUUAUUGGGCGUAAAGGGUGCGUAGGCGGCCCCACAAGUCUCAUGUGAAAUCUUCAGGCUCAACUUGAAGUCUGCAUGGGAAACUGCGGGGCUGGAGUAUGGGAGAGGUGAGUGGAAUUCCUGGUGUAGCGGUGAAAUGCGUAGAUAUCAGGAGGAACACCUGUGGCGAAAGCGGCUCACUGGACCAUAACUGACGCUGAGGCACGAAAGCUAGGGGAGCAAACAGGAUUAGAUACCCCGUAGUCCCUGUCUCUUAUACA
RNAcentral lists this ribosomal RNA (301 nucleotides) under uncultured bacterium. RNAcentral's name for it is "partial 16S ribosomal RNA". It matches the Rfam family "Bacterial small subunit ribosomal RNA", at positions 509 to 808 of the family's 1533-position model. The record is from RNAcentral.